CAAUAGCGUAUAUUUAAGUUGUUGCAGUUAAAAAGCUCGUAGUCGGAUUUUGGCUGAGAACGAUCGGUCCGCCGUUAGGUGUGCACUGAUUGGUCUCAGCUUCCUGGUGAGGAGGUGUGCUUCACGGCCACUUAGUCACCGUGGUUACUUUGAAAAAAUUAGAGUGUUCAAAGCGGGCUUACGCUUGAAUAUAUUAGCAUGGAAUAACACCAUAGGACUCCUGUCCUAUUUCGUUGGUCUCGGGACGGGAGUAAUGAUUAAGAGGAACAGUUGGGGGCAUUCGUAUUUCAUUGUCAGAGGUGAAAUUCUUGGAUUUAUGAAAGGCGAACUUCUGCGAAAGCAUUUGCCAAGGAUGUUUUCAUUGA
This 365-nucleotide ribosomal RNA is filed under the name uncultured eukaryote. RNAcentral describes it as "partial 18S ribosomal RNA". It matches the Rfam family "Eukaryotic small subunit ribosomal RNA", at positions 592 to 976 of the family's 1831-position model. The record is from RNAcentral.